UGGGGAAUCUUGCGCAAUGGGGGGAACCCUGACGCAGCGACGCCGCGUGCGGGACGGAGGCCUUCGGGUCGUAAACCGCUUUCAGCAGGGAAGAGUCAAGACUGUACCUGCAGAAGAAGCCCCGGCUAACUACGUGCCAGCAGCCGCGGUAAUACGUAGGGGGCGAGCGUUAUCCGGAUUCAUUGGGCGUAAAGCGCGCGUAGGCGGCCCGGCAGGCCGUGGGUGGAAGCGGGGGGGUCAACCCGCAGCAGCCCCCGGACCCUCCGCGGCUUGGGUCCGGUAGGGGAGGGUGGAACACCCGGUGUAGCGGUGGAAUGCGCAGAUAUCGGGUGGAACACCGGUGGCGAAGGCGGCCCUCUGGGCCGAGACCGACGCUGAGGCGCGAAAGCUGGGGGAGCGAACAGG
RNAcentral lists this ribosomal RNA (405 nucleotides) under bacterium. Its description in RNAcentral is "partial 16S ribosomal RNA". It matches the Rfam family "Bacterial small subunit ribosomal RNA", at positions 355 to 776 of the family's 1533-position model. The record is from RNAcentral.